Molecule: long non-coding RNA, 618 nt
Organism: Salvia splendens (bonfire salvia)
Lineage: Eukaryota; Viridiplantae; Streptophyta; Magnoliopsida; Lamiales; Lamiaceae
Exons: 2
Source: RefSeq, a predicted model, not a curated record
GAUCAUCUUCUUCGUGAAUCGUCCAACACGACCGAUCAUCCAUGAUUUGUUCCUCCAGCGCGAUAUUUUCUGAUUUAUUAAUCACGAUUCAUGCCUCCAUUGUGAUUGAUCAGCCACGAUUCAUCCUCCAACGUGAUUGAUCAGCGAUAUCUGAAUUCCUGACCAUAUGGAUUCAAUUCCAAUAUGAUCGUUGGAGGAUUAUUUCGAUUCUGAUUACUCUUUGUCGGGAGAGCAAGGAGAAACUGAUCUAGAGGUCCUGUAUGAUGUUUGCUCCGCUUAUGGGCAAGAAUAUUCACGGUUUUCCCGUGACAUUUACUGUUGGACUUCUUCCCAAGGAAAAUACUGACUCCUUUUCAUGGUUAUUGAACUAAUUUGUGAAAUGUAUGGGUGCGGCUUCCAAAUUGAUUGUAACAGACCAAGAUUUGAGAAUCAAAGUUGUUAUUAAGAAGGCCCUUGACAAUACGACCACUGGUGGUGUAUGUGGCACAUUGUAAAUAAUGUUUAGUUUACUUUUUACUUGUUUUUAGUUCACUAUAAGGGAGUUUGUUUCGUUGCAGUUUGUUUUUGUGCUCAGCUCAAGUGCGAAUUCGUUCCUUUCUAGUUAAUUUCUUACAUAUA